CCUAAGUUUAACAUUAGUCCAGGACCAGGAGGACCAGUCUAAACACUGUGGGAAAAAUAGCCAAGCAACUUAGCUCACACAAGGUCUCGCAGUUCUAGUUGCCUGACACGUGGUCUGCCCUACCUCUGAGCACCUAUGGUCCUCCUCCUCCAUUUGAACUUACGAGGUCAAGGGUUUGCUCACUGGAUAGAAUGAGAGGAUCUUAAACUUUGGAGCCAGAUAGAACUUACAACCUCCUUCCAGGAAGAGAAGCCUCACUUGAACUCAAACAGAGAAGUACACCUGUACCUGCAGUCGUCCCAGUCAGCUCAGGUUCAGUCAUCCUGGCCAGGCAGCAGCAUCACUCACCUGACGGAAACAGUGAAGUCUAGUGGGACCUCAUGGUAUUGCACGCCAAAGGUUUACCAUGAAGAGGUUAAAAUGUGCCAUAUUGUACAAAAGAAUUUUAGUUCAGAGUUUAAAUUGUGCCACUUCUGGAGCAUAUCUUCCAUUAAACUUUCAUUCAGU
Molecule: long non-coding RNA, 507 nt
Organism: Chinchilla lanigera (long-tailed chinchilla)
Lineage: Eukaryota; Metazoa; Chordata; Mammalia; Rodentia; Chinchillidae
Exons: 4
Source: RefSeq, a predicted model, not a curated record